GCGCGAUUAGCUCAGCUGGAUAGAGCGCUGCCCUCCGGAGGCAGAGGCCACAGGUUCGAAUCCUGUAUCGCGCGCCA
This 77-nucleotide transfer RNA is filed under the name Deltaproteobacteria bacterium. Its description in RNAcentral is "tRNA-Arg". It matches the Rfam family "tRNA". Rfam says of the family: Transfer RNA (tRNA) molecules are approximately 80 nucleotides in length. RNAcentral also lists the same sequence under 2 other names. The record is from RNAcentral. Lineage: Bacteria; Pseudomonadati; Myxococcota; Myxococcia.